UGGAUGCCCUGGCAGUCAGAGGCGAUGAAGGACGUGCUAAUCUGCGAAAAGCGUCGGUAAGGUGAUAUGAACCGUUACAGCCGGCGAUGUCCGAAUGGGGAAACCCAGUGCAAUUCGUUGCACUAUCGUUAACUGAAUACAUAGGUUAACGAGGCGAACCGGGGGAACUGAAACAUCUAAGUACCCCGAGGAAAAGAAAUCAACCGAGAUUCCCCCAGUAGCGGCGAGCGAACGGGGAGCAGCCCAGAGUCUGAAUCAGCUUGUGUGUUAGUGGAACGGUCUGGAAAGUCCGACGGUACAGGGUGAUAGUCCCGUACACCAAAAUGCACAGGCUGUGAACUCGAAGAGUAGGGCGGGACACGUGGUAUCCUGUCUGAAUAUGGGGGGACCAUCCUCCAAGGCUAAAUACU
RNAcentral lists this ribosomal RNA (410 nucleotides) under Klebsiella pneumoniae. RNAcentral describes it as "partial 23S ribosomal RNA". It matches the Rfam family "Bacterial large subunit ribosomal RNA", at positions 25 to 474 of the family's 2925-position model. Lineage: Bacteria; Pseudomonadati; Pseudomonadota; Gammaproteobacteria; Enterobacterales; Enterobacteriaceae. The record is from RNAcentral.